This 1405-nucleotide ribosomal RNA is filed under the name Salmonella enterica subsp. enterica serovar Cerro str. CFSAN001589. RNAcentral's name for it is "bacterial LSU rRNA". It matches the Rfam family "Bacterial large subunit ribosomal RNA", at positions 1556 to 2925 of the family's 2925-position model. Lineage: Bacteria; Pseudomonadati; Pseudomonadota; Gammaproteobacteria; Enterobacterales; Enterobacteriaceae. RNAcentral also lists the same sequence under 1 other name. The record is from RNAcentral.
CUGAGGCGUGAUGACGAGGCACUACGGUGCUGAAGCAACAAAUGCCCUGCUUCCAGGAAAAGCCUCUAAGCAUCAGGUAACAUCAAAUCGUACCCCAAACCGACACAGGUGGUCAGGUAGAGAAUACCAAGGCGCUUGAGAGAACUCGGGUGAAGGAACUAGGCAAAAUGGUGCCGUAACUUCGGGAGAAGGCACGCUGACACGUAGGUGAAGUGAUUUACUCAUGGAGCUGAAGUCAGUCGAAGAUACCAGCUGGCUGCAACUGUUUAUUAAAAACACAGCACUGUGCAAACACGAAAGUGGACGUAUACGGUGUGACGCCUGCCCGGUGCCGGAAGGUUAAUUGAUGGGGUCAGCGCAAGCGAAGCUCCUGAUCGAAGCCCCGGUAAACGGCGGCCGUAACUAUAACGGUCCUAAGGUAGCGAAAUUCCUUGUCGGGUAAGUUCCGACCUGCACGAAUGGCGUAAUGAUGGCCAGGCUGUCUCCACCCGAGACUCAGUGAAAUUGAACUCGCUGUGAAGAUGCAGUGUACCCGCGGCAAGACGGAAAGACCCCGUGAACCUUUACUAUAGCUUGACACUGAACAUUGAGCCUUGAUGUGUAGGAUAGGUGGGAGGCUUUGAAGUGUGGACGCCAGUCUGCAUGGAGCCGACCUUGAAAUACCACCCUUUAAUGUUUGAUGUUCUAACGUGGACCCGUGAUCCGGGUUGCGGACAGUGUCUGGUGGGUAGUUUGACUGGGGCGGUCUCCUCCUAAAGAGUAACGGAGGAGCACGAAGGUUGGCUAAUCCUGGUCGGACAUCAGGAGGUUAGUGCAAUGGCAUAAGCCAGCUUGACUGCGAGCGUGACGGCGCGAGCAGGUGCGAAAGCAGGUCAUAGUGAUCCGGUGGUUCUGAAUGGAAGGGCCAUCGCUCAACGGAUAAAAGGUACUCCGGGGAUAACAGGCUGAUACCGCCCAAGAGUUCAUAUCGACGGCGGUGUUUGGCACCUCGAUGUCGGCUCAUCACAUCCUGGGGCUGAAGUAGGUCCCAAGGGUAUGGCUGUUCGCCAUUUAAAGUGGUACGCGAGCUGGGUUUAGAACGUCGUGAGACAGUUCGGUCCCUAUCUGCCGUGGGCGCUGGAGAACUGAGGGGGGCUGCUCCUAGUACGAGAGGACCGGAGUGGACGCAUCACUGGUGUUCGGGUUGUCAUGCCAAUGGCACUGCCCGGUAGCUAAAUGCGGAAGAGAUAAGUGCUGAAAGCAUCUAAGCACGAAACUUGCCCCGAGAUGAGUUCUCCCUGAGACUUUAAGUCUCCUGAAGGAACGUUGAAGACGACGACGUUGAUAGGCCGGGUGUGUAAGCGCAGCGAUGCGUUGAGCUAACCGGUACUAAUGAACCGUGAGGCUUAACCUUACAACGCCGAAG